CCUACGGGAGGCAGCAGUGGGGAAUAUUGGACAAUGGGCGAAAGCCUGAUCCAGCAAUGCCGCGUGUGUGAAGAAGGUCUUCGGAUUGUAAAGCACUUUCGACGGGGACGAUGAUGACGGUACCCGUAGAAGAAGCCCCGGCUAACUUCGUGCCAGCAGCCGCGG
RNAcentral lists this ribosomal RNA (165 nucleotides) under uncultured Asaia sp. RNAcentral's name for it is "partial 16S ribosomal RNA". It matches the Rfam family "Bacterial small subunit ribosomal RNA", at positions 338 to 520 of the family's 1533-position model. The record is from RNAcentral. Lineage: Bacteria; Pseudomonadati; Pseudomonadota; Alphaproteobacteria; Acetobacterales; Acetobacteraceae.